UGGCCACUAUUACAUAGACAAGAUCUCAGGAGCAGGCAUAGUUUGUGGGGGUGGGAGCAUCAUGAGCUAGGUUCAAACACACUGAUUCUGAGACAUCUAGGGAACCACAGAACAAGUUCUGGGCUGGAGAUGUAGAUUUCAUUUGAGAGCUGCCAGUAGUAGAGACGGUAAUUGAAGCCAUGGGAAUGGAGGUGAUUGUCCAGGGAGUGUAGGUAAAGUGAGAAUAGAUAAGUGCCAAAGGGCACAGUCUGGGUAUGUCAACAUUUAAGUGACAAUUUCAGAAAGAGAAGCCAAGGAAGAAACCAGAGAAAAGCAGUUGGAGAAGCAAGAAGGCAACCAGAAGUGGCCUUGGUACAGCUGUGAUGGGGAGACAAUGACGAAACAGCAGGAACUGGCACUGAGAGUUAUUGGUGUAGCUUGGGCUCUCCCCUCAUCAUCCUCUCCAGCUGGGAGUCAUGUGACAGAAGCAAGAAGCCUGUCACAGCGCACAUGUAAAAGAGCAAACUCCAGACACACACGUCUUAUCUGUGCUGACGGCCCACCUUGGUGACUGGAAAUGACACCAUCCAAUUUUUUCUGGCCGCAAUGUUGCACCCCUGAUUUUUUCCUUCAUAUGACAGACUUCACAGCAAAUACUCCUACUGAGUCCAAACAACCGCUACGAUUGAGAACAAGCAUGAAUCCGCCACCCACCUUCUCCUGGAAAUAAGGUUAUUGGGUUGCUGAACUCCCAUGAACCAAAAAGAAAACACUGAAUGGUAUCCAAACCAGCCUGGAAAGGACAGCGAGAAAAGCCAGAACCAAGGCUGACCAGCCUGAAUGCUGGUAAAUGUUAUCAAGAUUUCUCUAUUCAUGCUACUCAACAUCCCAAAAAGAAUCAGCAUAAGGCCACAAACUCAACAAAAUUCCUUCUCCUGUUCAUUAAACUCCUGUCCUGACUCCAAGUUCACACCUAAAUAAACAGGCAAGCCUGUGCUCUGCACCCUGAGGAACAGUCUCCUAGGCUUUGUCCUUGCAGAGAGCCCAUUUCCAAGGACAGGCCGUCCAUCUACCCAGCUUUUCUCAAGGCCACAUAGCUCCUCUCUAAAGACAGCCAUCCCCAGGGGUUCAGUUGAUCCUGACAGCUGCGCCUACAGAGAAAGAAGGGAAGAGAGAUGGGAGAGGAAGAUCUCCCAGGAGUCAGGAUGCAAGGUGAAGCCAGCUGUUGAUCAGCGGUCACUCAGCAGCUAGACCAUGCGACACUCUCCUUCUGAAGGCUGCAGGCUGUGAGAGUGUUCUGAGUGGCAUUUAAGGAUAGCUCCCAUGCAGCGUGCCAGCUUCGGCAGGGCCUCCUAUGGUAAGCCCUAAAACACAGAGGGAAAAGAAUAACCAAGUGGAAGUGGAUCAUCAUGCCAUCUAUCAGAGACAAUGCAUGUGAGAAUGCUGCUACUAAAUGAAUGAAAAACGCUUUGUAAACUCAAAGUCUGUGGUUCUCAAACUUGAGCAUGUAUCUUUUUUUUUUUUUUUAAAUUAAAACGCUGAUUUACUUGGCCUUA
This 1535-nucleotide long non-coding RNA is filed under the name Homo sapiens (human). Its description in RNAcentral is "HSALNT0369827". The record is from RNAcentral. Lineage: Eukaryota; Metazoa; Chordata; Mammalia; Primates; Hominidae.